This 253-nucleotide ribosomal RNA is filed under the name uncultured bacterium. RNAcentral describes it as "partial 16S ribosomal RNA". It matches the Rfam family "Bacterial small subunit ribosomal RNA", at positions 524 to 776 of the family's 1533-position model. The record is from RNAcentral.
UACGGGGGGGGCAAGCGUUGUUCGGAAUUACUGGGCGUAAAGGGCUCGUAGGCGGCCAACUAAGUCAGACGUGAAAUCCCUCGGCUUAACCGGGGAACUGCGUCUGAUACUGGAUGGCUUGAGAUUGGGAGAGGGAUGCGGAAUUCCAGGUGUAGCGGUGAAAUGCGUAGAUAUCUGGAGGAACACCGGUGGCGAAGGCGGCAUCCUGGACCGACACUGACGCUGAUGCGCGAAAGCCAGGGGAGCAAACGGG